This 917-nucleotide long non-coding RNA is filed under the name Homo sapiens (human). RNAcentral describes it as "HSALNT0308507". The record is from RNAcentral. Lineage: Eukaryota; Metazoa; Chordata; Mammalia; Primates; Hominidae.
GUAGAUUGUGCCAAAGAUCUUCCUGAGGUCCCAGCCUCUGAAUGGCGGCAGCCCUUUGCGAACUACCAGCUUGCUCUCUUGCCACAAUGUCACACGGAGGUUUCCAGGAUCCUCACUAGAGGUGUGGCAGGCAGGCCUGAAAUGACCAAUUCAAAGUCCCUCUUGUUGCUACUGAAGCAUGUUUGAGACCUGCGAGGAGGAGGAGGCCUCUAUCAGAGCAAAGAAUUUGGAGCUGCUUCCAAUCUGAAACUUCCUUAGCGUUGUAAAAAGCACCCUUCAUUCGAAAUCGCUCAGUGCCUGGACUCAGAGAAAGUGGGAGAGUUACCAAGGCUCGGCCCCCAAGGCACAGUGAGAAGAAACUGAGGCAAUGCCAAGAACACCCCGACCUCAUGAGCUUCAAAGAAGCUGCUGCUGCAGUUCCCGGUUCUGAGGCACCUCCAAGACCACUCUCAUCCAAACUCUCAAAACACUCCCCUUGGGUGAGCUGUCCCUUAAAAGGAACAGGGCUGGGCCUUCACAAAGGCUCCUGUGAGACUUCUACCCCCUAUGGGUCUGGUAGCACCAAGGGAUUUCUCAUGCUAUGACCACAGACAUCAUCAAGAGGGUAGAGAGACCAAGUGGCCAGUGAAUUGGCACACAUGAAGAUUCUUUGUGAUCUGUAAAGAAAGUGUAAAAUCUGCAACAAACUGUGGAAUAAUCUGACAUAGGAAGAGGUGGAUGGUACAGAAGAACAAUAAAAUAAUAGCCAGCCUUUAUUGACUGGUUGCUUCAUGCCACUACUGCUCUGUGUGCUUUUACAUGUAUAAAAUGCGUAUUUGUCAUAAGACCCUUUGAAACGGCCCUACUGUCACUCCUAUUUUAUAGAUGAUGAAGCCCAGGACAGCACAAGGCUAGUGAGUGGUGCUGCACCCACGGAG